GGGGAUGUGGCUCAGUGGUAGAGUCCUUGCCUGGCAUGCCUGAGGCCAUGGGUUCGACCCCCAUUACCA
Molecule: transfer RNA, 69 nt
Filed under: Cavia porcellus (domestic guinea pig)
Lineage: Eukaryota; Metazoa; Chordata; Mammalia; Rodentia; Caviidae
Rfam family: tRNA
About the family: Transfer RNA (tRNA) molecules are approximately 80 nucleotides in length. Their secondary structure includes four short double-helical elements and three loops (D, anti-codon, and T loops). Further hydrogen bonds mediate the characteristic L-shaped molecular structure. tRNAs have two regions of fundamental functional importance: the anti-codon, which is responsible for specific mRNA codon recognition, and the 3' end, to which the tRNAs corresponding amino acid is attached (by aminoacyl-tRNA synthetases). tRNAs cope with the degeneracy of the genetic code in two manners: having more than one tRNA (with a specific anti-codon) for a particular amino acid; and 'wobble' base-pairing, i.e. permitting non-standard base-pairing at the 3rd anti-codon position.
Source: Rfam by way of RNAcentral